GGGCACGUGGUCUAACGGUAAGGCGCCGGCUACUGUGAAAGUAGGACCUCGGGGAUUCCUCGGAGGCGAGCGUAACGCCACUGAUUUCAACGUCGUUAUCGUCUUCCGGAGAUGCGGGUUCGAGCCUCGCCGUGUCCA
Ophiobolus disseminans is the source of this 138-nucleotide non-coding RNA. Lineage: Eukaryota; Fungi; Ascomycota; Dothideomycetes; Pleosporales; Phaeosphaeriaceae. The record is from the annotation of a GenBank genome assembly.